Small nucleolar RNA from Mus caroli (Ryukyu mouse), 135 nucleotides. RefSeq annotates it as small nucleolar RNA SNORA17. The record is from RefSeq and is a predicted model, not a curated record. NCBI's taxonomy places the organism in Eukaryota, Metazoa, Chordata, Mammalia, Rodentia, Muridae.
CCUGCCCCUAGAGGCAUUGCAGGUGUGGCUGCUGUGUCCCAAGUACGUUAGUAGGUGGCAGAGAGGAGAGAGGCUGUGUCUAGGCUCAGCGUUCUGACCUGUGAACCUCUGAACGAUUAGUAGUAGCCUAACACU